ACCUCAGAAAUAUGAGGCAGGAAUGCUAAGCACAAUGUCGCCGCCGUAUUGCGAGAUUGCUGAAAGAAUGUUUGAACAUAAUCUUUGCAGCCAGUUGCAUCGACUGCAUGGAAAGAAUGCUCAUGCAUUAAGGCGGAGACACAUUCAAGUGCUCGCAAUGGUAUUAAGUGUGCAGACAUCUGAAGGUUGGCAAGGCUUGGCUGGAGAUCGGGCAUCUGCAGACUGGCUGUUUGAAGUACAUGGCUAACAUAUCAGCAAGGCGUGACUGGAAAGCUCGGACACGCAGACCCACAAUCCACCCUCCCCAAACCAGACACCCCCCGCACACCCCAACACUCUACUCCCACCUGUUGUUUUUCCAGAAGUGAAAGCCACACAGGAGGGAGGUCAAAGCAUGAGGUGGGGGUGCAGGGCUGGGGGGUCUUUUCAGCCUGUGACUCAGUAAAAUGUGAGCGGGUGAGGCGGGGGGUGGGUGUCAGGAAAGAGGCUCUGAGUCAGCCCGAGCUAUAAAAAGGAUGCUGAUGGUUAAAUAAGUGGAGUAGUGAAACAGCACUGCUCCGUCUGGCAUGCAGACCCCUUCUAGCAUAAAGUAAGCCAAGGUGAGCAAGAACUGUUGGCUGUUGGUGGGCUGCCCCAUUGACCGGGUGGCUCAUCAAGAAUCAACUUUCAGAGGCUUGCGACAUUUCUCAACCACAUUUCCCAUACUGUUGCAAUCAUUACCUGAGUCAUCUCCUUUGGCAGCAACAUACAUUGAGCCCCCCACCACCACCACCUCCAGCAGCACCCUUCAAUGUGCAUCCAAUUCCUGUGUGACAUAACGCUGGAGAAUGUGUCUCUCCAUUCCUGCCCUCGAGCUCCCCAAAUAGAACUUGUGGAACGUAUCCAUGUACCCAAACAGUUAUCUCACGCCAAUGCUUAUUAUGAUACUGCACAUGGUGAGAGGUGUUGUAAUAUUUGCCCUAUAAAAGAAAGCGCACAGUCUUGUACUGCACAGAUCUGCAUUACCACAUUAAUGUUGAAAGCUGGGAGCAUGAAAUUCGAGGGCCAGAAGUAGUUACUGCAUCUACACUAGAAAGACAAAGUUCUGGCCUUUAUGUUACUGAAAAUAUCAGAGCAUUUCUUAGAAGACAAUCGGAUAUUAUGGAGGACCCCUUCCCCCUAUGGGUCCAUUAAAUCGAGGUUCCACUGUACAUAUAAACAACAAAUUGAUGGAUGUAGUAUUUUUGAGUUCAGCAUUCAAGGAUAAUAAUUUGUUCAGAUGUUGAUCCCAUCUGAUUUUGGACUUGAGGCAGGAUACAUCCUGGACUGGGAACAUGUAGACAGGGAAACCAAGCAAACUCUACACCGGAAGACCAAAACAGAGAUUCAAACCCAGAAUCCUGAAAAAUGUGAGGCUGACUUGCUAACCAUUUCCACCAUGCAGCCCUCAGAAUAUGCAGUCCAACUGCCACCAAAACAGAGUUAUUAUUUUCAUUCAGACUUUUUUUUUUAUGCAAAACUAUUGAACGUGAUGCGGAUGUAAUACCUUUUCUUUCGGAAAAACCCCGCAAAGAAUCGGGCACUAACUUUGAAGGUAAAAGACAACACUCAGAGGAUGGUGAGCAACAGUAGCAAGAGAGGAAAUGGUCCCUCUACAACAUGUCUGAACUCUUGCUGACUCUCCUAGAUUUCGACUAAACUCCUUAAACAGGAAGUAGUUUCUCUAAGUUGUGCAAAAAGGGGACAAAACAAGAACUGAAAAUUUGGUCUAAAGACACAGAGGAGGUGAGGCAGGUGUGUUUCGAUGUUAGCCACUAAAGAGAAUAUUCAUUCAUCAUCUGAGCUGCUUAUCCUCACAAGGCUCAUGGGCGUGCUGGAGCUUAUCCCAGAUAACUGGGUAAAAAGGGGACAACACCAUCGACGGUCCCCAGUGGGUCGCAGGGGACAUAUAAACACCAUCACAGAGGGCGAACUGAACCCAUGCAGCCCGCACCAAAGGCAGGGGUCACGGGAAAGCUGGAGGCUAUCCCAGCUAGUUUUGGGCGAAAAGUGGACUACACCCUAAACUGGUUGCGAGUCAGUCACAGAGCAGAUAUCGACACGAUCACUGAGAGGAAAUCCAUCCAACGUUGCCUGUACAAAAGUCAGGCGUGUGUACCACUACACUAUCAGUGACUCUACUUUUAUAUAGUUAGAGCUUAUUUUCAUCAAGGAUUUUUAUUUUCUUCUGUGUCUAAUUUUAAAGAGAGCAAGGAACAUUGUGCCGGGAACACGAUGCGACGUCGAGGCCCUGACUUUGACACUCACAGUGAAAGCUCCAUUUUGCGGUUAGCGCAUAGCUUCAAGGUUGAGGUCAGAGGUCAGGCCCAACAGAUUGUCGUGGGCACUAUAGAAAAAGCAUUAUUUGUGUGUAUGUGUGUGUGUGCAUGCUUGGGUGCGUGGCCUUCUGGACUGUGGUAUGAUAGUGAAGUUCCUGAGCUAUCAGGUGUCCCUCUAUGGUCGAGUCAGAGCCAUGCAGCAGCCUCCAGAGCCCGACCGAGGAUAUUUUAGAAAGGCUUCAGUUAGCGGCAGCGAAUUAAGUCGAUUCUUCUGAGGGGUUUCUCUUCAUUAAAAAAAAUUCAACUUUCAUUCUGCAGCGAUUACGGAUUGGCAAGAUGAAGAAAGACAUUGUGCGUGUUGAGAAGAGGAGCCUGACGUGUCUCUCACCAACAAGUCAAGCACUCCUAAAAGUGACUUGAUGGUCCACAGUAGCAUGUUGAGAGAAAACAACUUGUGCCUGCCGGCAAGGUCAAAAAACAGCGUCGCUUUCAGCAACAGCCUGGUGCAGAAGUGCCUAGAACUGGAAUGAAGCAGCUGCUUGGACAGAAAAAAAAAAAGCUCCUCCACCCCCCAGCCUGUUCUCUGUCCAUCUGCAGCUCCUUUUCUCUUUGUGACCAUUGAAGAAUAGCGGCUUUGUAACACAGUGCUGUGUGUGUGUGCGUGUGCACGCGUGUUGACUACUUUCAGUAAGAGACGACAGGAAUUGUUCAUUUCAAGUGACUUCCCUGAGGAUGUGACCAUGGGGGAAAAAAUAUGAAUGUAAUGGGAAGAAUAAAAUACAUCCUCUAAAUAUGUUCUUGAAGGUAUCAUACUGGGCAUCCUCCCAAUAAGUAGCACCAAGUUUACCAACACAUGGUUGAGUGAUCGAGCAUUCGCAACAUCCAUUCUCAAUCAUUUAAAAGUAUGGAUGAAUAUCAUACGAUUCUGCUAGGGUACCUGAUAACCCUGCUUUUUUUGUGUUCUGUCAAAAUGUUUUUUUCUUGUCACGUCAAACCUGUUUGCAGGUUUGAUUUUUUUCAUCCCAAUGACAUACUCCUUGCUAAAUA
Syngnathoides biaculeatus (alligator pipefish) is the source of this 3344-nucleotide long non-coding RNA. RefSeq lists it as uncharacterized. NCBI's taxonomy places the organism in Eukaryota, Metazoa, Chordata, Actinopteri, Syngnathiformes, Syngnathidae. The transcript is spliced from 3 exons. The record is from RefSeq and is a predicted model, not a curated record.